GAUGAACGCUGGCGGCGUGCCUAAUACAUGCAAGUCGAGCGAACAGACGAGGAGCUUGCUCCUCUGACGUUAGCGGCGGACGGGUGAGUAACACGUGGAUAACCUACCUAUAAGACUGGGAUAACUUCGGGAAACCGGAGCUAAUACCGGAUAAUAUAUUGAACCGCAUGGUUCAAUAGUGAAAGACGGUUUUGCUGUCACUUAUAGAUGGAUCCGCGCCGCAUUAGCUAGUUGGUAAGGUAACGGCUUACCAAGGCGACGAUGCGUAGCCGACCUGAGAGGGUGAUCGGCCACACUGGAACUGAGACACGGUCCAGACUCCUACGGGAGGCAGCAGUAGGGAAUCUUCCGCAAUGGGCGAAAGCCUGACGGAGCAACGCCGCGUGAGUGAUGAAGGUCUUCGGAUCGUAAAACUCUGUUAUUAGGGAAGAACAAAUGUGUAAGUAACUAUGCACGUCUUGACGGUACCUAAUCAGAAAGCCACGGCUAACUAUGUG
This 497-nucleotide ribosomal RNA is filed under the name uncultured bacterium. RNAcentral's name for it is "partial 16S ribosomal RNA". It matches the Rfam family "Bacterial small subunit ribosomal RNA", at positions 28 to 507 of the family's 1533-position model. The record is from RNAcentral.